CUUAUCCCUAAGCGAUUUUCUGGCUCACGGGCCUGCCGCUGCAGCAGCGGCCGCGGCCAAGGAGGUUGCUGCGAAUACCGUCAUUGGAUUCUGUACAGCCAGAAAAAAAGUCUUUAUCAAGCGGCAAGGGCCUCUAAGAAAAGGAAAAGCUUUUCUCCUCCAUGCCAUAUACAUGAAUUACUCUACGAUAUCUGGGCUUGUAUCUGUCAGCGUAGCUUUUUAAACUCGCCGAUAAAGUCCCUUCAAUCUUGUUCAUAGUUUUCUCUCAUAGUUCUCUCAAGAAAGGAUCUCUCCUUUAGUUUUUUACCUUUGUCAUACUCCCUUUCUACUUCAGAGAAUCUCUUUCCUUUGAUAAGAUCGAAGAAAA
This 367-nucleotide long non-coding RNA is filed under the name Polistes fuscatus (common paper wasp). RNAcentral's name for it is "uncharacterized LOC122518251". The record is from RNAcentral. Lineage: Eukaryota; Metazoa; Arthropoda; Insecta; Hymenoptera; Vespidae.